Molecule: long non-coding RNA, 272 nt
Organism: Pogoniulus pusillus (Red-fronted tinkerbird)
Lineage: Eukaryota; Metazoa; Chordata; Aves; Piciformes; Lybiidae
Exons: 2
Source: RefSeq, a predicted model, not a curated record
GGACAGUGCUUUGAAUCUCAGAAUGAAAUGCGUGCCAGGAAGGAGUUGGCUAUUAGAGCUUUGCAUCCAGCCUGGAUUUGUGUCUGGGAUUGGCCUGAUGCAACUGCAGGACCUCACACUUUGACUUGUUGAACCUCAUACAGCUGGAAAUGGCCUGGUCCUCAUACCCUGCAUGCCAGUAAAUGCUAGCUUUUUGGAGAUGUGAACAGGAGUGAUUGUGUUCAGGGAGUGCCUUUGCACCUGUGGCCUGAAUAAACACCCACUGAAUUAUA